This is a non-coding RNA of Acanthosepion pharaonis, 98 nucleotides long. Lineage: Eukaryota; Metazoa; Mollusca; Cephalopoda; Sepiida; Sepiidae. The record is from the annotation of a GenBank genome assembly.
GUUGAAACACCAGUUUCUGUACGAGCAUCAAAGUUAAGCAAUGUUGAGUCUGGUUAGUACCUAGAUGGGUGACCACUUGGGAAUAUCAGAUGCUGUAA